This 66-nucleotide transfer RNA is filed under the name Oedaleus infernalis. RNAcentral's name for it is "tRNA-Gly". Lineage: Eukaryota; Metazoa; Arthropoda; Insecta; Orthoptera; Acrididae. The record is from RNAcentral.
UUUUUUCUAGUAUAAAUAGUACAUUUGACUUCCAAUCAAAAAGCUUGAAAGACAUCAAGAAAAAUA